RNAcentral lists this ribosomal RNA (447 nucleotides) under uncultured bacterium. RNAcentral describes it as "partial 16S ribosomal RNA". It matches the Rfam family "Bacterial small subunit ribosomal RNA", at positions 29 to 523 of the family's 1533-position model. The record is from RNAcentral.
AACGAACGCUGGCGGCAGGCUUAACACAUGCAAGUCGAGCGCCCCGCAAGGGGAGCGGCAGACGGGUGAGUAACGCGUGGGAAUCUACCCAUCCCUACGGAAUAGCUCCGGGAAACUGGACUUAAUACCGUAUACGCCCUACGGGGGAAAGAUUUAUCGGGGAUGGAUGAGCCCGCGUUGGAUUAGCUAGUUGGUGGGGUAAAGGCCUACCAAGGCGACGAUCCAUGGCUGGUCUGAGAGGAUGAUCAGCCACAUUGGGACUGAGACACGGCCCAAACUCCUACGGGAGGCAGCAGUGGGGAAUAUUGGACAAUGGGGGCAACCCUGAUCCAGCCAUGCCGCGUGAGUGAUGAAGGCCUUAGGGUUGUAAAGCUCUUUCACCGGGGAAGAUAAUGACGGUACCCGGAGAAGAAGCCCCGGCUAACUUCGUGCCAGCAGCCGCGGUAA